Molecule: ribosomal RNA, 274 nt
Filed under: uncultured bacterium
Lineage: Bacteria
Description: partial 16S ribosomal RNA
Rfam family: Bacterial small subunit ribosomal RNA
Source: RNAcentral
AUACGGAGGGUGCAAGCGUUACUGGGAAUCACUGGGCGUAAAGCGCGCGCAGGUGGCUUGAUAAGUUGGAUGUGAAAGCCUACGGCUCAACCGUAGAACUGCAUCCAAAACUGUCAAGCUAGAGUCUGGGAGGUGAAGAUGGAAUUAGUUGUGUAGGGGUAAAAUCCGUAGAGAUAACUAGGAAUACCAAAAGCGAAGGCGAUCUUCUGGAACAGUACUGACGCUGAGGCGCGAAAGCGUGGGGAGCAAACAGGAUUAGAAACCCCAGUAGUCC